RNAcentral lists this ribosomal RNA (549 nucleotides) under Triticum aestivum (bread wheat). Its description in RNAcentral is "partial small subunit ribosomal RNA". Lineage: Eukaryota; Viridiplantae; Streptophyta; Magnoliopsida; Poales; Poaceae. The record is from RNAcentral.
AUGAAUCUCUUGGCAUGGAACUGUCGAGGCUUGGGGUUGGACUCGACAGUUGGCGAAUUACGGGACCUCAUACGGUCAUACAACCCAGCGGUGGUCUUUCUUUCAGAAACCUUAAAGAAAUCUGAACCGAUGAAUAAGCUAAAAUGGAGUCUGGGGUUCAGACAAGGAGUUGCAGUUAACUGUGUUGGGCGAAGCGGGGGUCUAGCCUUGUGGUGGAGAGAUGAUGUGCAAGUUACGGUGAGACCGUGGAGCCAAUAUUUUAUUGAUGCGGAGGUGUGCUACGAAGGCAAAACAUUCCGGUUCACUGGGAUAUACGGUGAACCGCGGACGGAGCUGAGGAAGAAAACUUGGGAUGCACUGGCAUACCUGAGGAGACAGGAUAAUCUACCAUGGCUGUGCGUGGGCGAUUUCAAUGAGGCAUUAACCCAAGCAGAACAACGUGGUGGAAACGCCAGAAAUUUGAAUCAAAUGGAGGACUUCAAGGAUUUGUCUGGACAUGUGCGCACUAGCGGACAUGGGUUUCUCGGGGUACCCUUUUACGUGGGAUAA